CUGCAUUUGUGACUGUAUAGCUAGAGUACGGCAGAGGGGGAUGGAAUUCCGCGUGUAGCAGUGAAAUGCGUAGAUAUGCGGAGGAACACCGAUGGCGAAGGCAAUCCCCUGGGCCUGUACUGACGCUCAUGCACGAAAGCGUGGGGAGCAAACAGGAUUAGAUACCCUGGUAGUCCACGCCCUAAACGAUGUCAACUGGUUGUUGGGUCUUCACUGACUCAGUAACGAAGCUAACGCGUGAAGUUGACCGCCUGGGGAGUACGGCCGCAAGGUUGAAACUCAAAUAAAUUGACGGGA
This 297-nucleotide ribosomal RNA is filed under the name Acidovorax temperans. RNAcentral describes it as "partial 16S ribosomal RNA". It matches the Rfam family "Bacterial small subunit ribosomal RNA", at positions 621 to 918 of the family's 1533-position model. The record is from RNAcentral. Lineage: Bacteria; Pseudomonadati; Pseudomonadota; Betaproteobacteria; Burkholderiales; Comamonadaceae.